GGAAUCGACUGCUCCUUCCCUAAAACGCGGAAAGCGAGCGCGCGAAGAAAACUGCUCGUUUCCUUUCCGUUCUGAUACCGCCCGCGUGCACCCGACCGGCCGCCGCUGGCCAUGGCCGGCCGCCUACACCGCCUCCCCGCCCCUCCUCUGCCCUCUCCCGACCACAUCACGCACUGAAUCGGGCGGGCGAGCCCCCUAUCGCGCCCCCGACGGCCACCUACCGCCCGCUCGCGCCGGCGUCGAUUUGGCCGGGGCGGCAGUCGAGGAGCACCGGAGCGACCUCCUCCACCCCGCCUCAACCCGCCUCAGCCUGCAGUCCACCCCUGACGGCCUCUCGUCGUCGCCUCGGUCAGAAGCCGCGGGGUGGGCGCCGCCCUCUGUCCCGGCGGCGGGGCACUCGCUGCGGCCGGCACCCCCUCCCCUACCUUGCUGUCCUACAUCAACACCUCCAUCCCCUGCUUGCUCCUGACCACUGCCUUCUCUCCUCUUGUGAUUUCUUCUCCUUGAGCUCACAAGGUGUUUGACGAAAAUCCCCGAAGAUGAAUUUGGCUUUGCAAUGGUUGGCAAGACGAGAAGCACCAAAUGUGGAGUUUGAAGGCAAUGAGCACAAAUACACUAUGGGAUAUUAUCUUGCAGAUGGAAUCUACCCAUCAUUUGUGAAGCCAAUCUCCAACCCCAAGGUAGGAAGAGAGCUCAUUUCACAGCAACUCAAGCAGCUUGUAGGAAAGAUGUGGAGAGAGCAUUUGGGGUGUUGCAAUCCCGGUUUGCAAUUGUGCGUGGGCCAGCUAGAUUCUGGGAUCAGAAAACUCUUUGGAGGAUCAUGACAGCAUGCAUCAUAUUGCACAACAUGAUCAUAGAAGAUGAGCGUGAACAAGAUGUGUCAUAUGCCUAUGAGGGCAUGGGAAAACGGGUGAAGCCAAGAUGGGAUGAUCAAGACCGAAUUCGGCGAUUUCUUCAAGUACACCGCCAGAUCCAAGACCGGGCGUCUCAUGACCAACUUCGAGAUGAUUUGGUUGAGGAGUUGUGGAAGUUUCAUGGCCAACAUAGCCACUAGUAUCUUCAUUCGAUUUCAUGUUUAUUGUCAUGAUGCACUUUGGUAGUUGUGAUUUUCAUAUUUGAACAUCAUUUUAAUUUUUCAAAACUAUUGGGUUCGAAUGUUAUGAAUUUGUGUCUCAUGCUAUCAUUCAUGUUUUUUAGUCCA
Molecule: long non-coding RNA, 1201 nt
Organism: Brachypodium distachyon (stiff brome)
Lineage: Eukaryota; Viridiplantae; Streptophyta; Magnoliopsida; Poales; Poaceae
Exons: 2
Source: RefSeq, a predicted model, not a curated record